GCACCACGACGUGGAGCUCAUCUGGAGCCCAUCGGCGGAACGGCGGCCCGCAGAAGUAGCGUCGUCUGUUGCUUGAGCUGCCGCCACACGCUGUCUUGUCGCUAGGAGGAGCGUGUCGGUACUCCACAUGAGGUGACAGCUGAAGGAUCGAAAGAGGAAGGUUUUUGCGCUGGAAUUCAAAUGGACAUUUAUCAGGUUAGUAAUUGGGUUAUUAUUAUCAUUUACCACUGAUAUGUUUUUAUUUCUCAAGUUAGUUGAGCAUGUAUGAUGAGAAUUUUCUCCUUUUCUUCGUAGGUUCAGAAAAAUACGCCUUACAUGGCACACAGUUUACUAGAUUAGACAUAAACUGAAAUUAUUAUUACUUGUCCUCGGCUCAUAUUUUGGUUUUUCAAGUGUAUCCCAGUGAGUAACAUGGUCCCCUUCCCCAGAUACCUACCUCAAGAAUUUCUUUUAGAUUUCUUUCUGCCCAUUUCCAAUUCUAAAUGCAUUGUUUCAGGAUUGGAAGAGGAAGGUUUUUGCGCUGCAAUUUAAAUGGGCAUUGAUCAGCAUUUUAGUCCUGCAUCAACGAUGGCCUAGCCAUGCAGCCAGCAUUAGGACAGAGCCACAUCAACGGCGAUGAGAUCUCCGAUGUGUUUUGCUCUCGAUGGUCUGAUGCAACCUUUGGGAUUAGAAGAUUGUUGCCAUUGUAUGUAGGAGCACCAGCCUGAUCCAUUGGAAGGAGCAGCCGGCACCACCGCCAGGCGUUCAUCCUCACCUUGGCAAGGUUGUGGUGCCCUUGGUUACUCUAGGUGUUAUUCAGCCCAGAUUGUUAGCAUGGAUUUAUUUUCUAGGUGUUGAUUACUUGAUUGUGCUGACUACUCACUAUUUCACUUUUUACUUGAAUGAGUCAAGCGUUUUAAGUGGAAGAUUGGGGUGAAAUCUUGUUCUCCGAGUAAGCAAAGAUCCAUGAAAUUGUCCAAAGGUGUCCAGGAGCUGGCUCUAAGGGAAGUUCUGAUGAUCCUUCUCUCCGCCAAUGGAUAUAUUCUGUCUAAGGCAAGUUUUAAACUUCCAGAAAGACACUGCAGUGAUGAUUUGGCUGGAGUCUAUGGAGCCAAGUUUAAUCCUAUGUACAAAAUACAAGGAGGAAAGGUGAAUCAAGGUAAAUGAAGUCAAAAGCAUCAGCACCUCUAAAUUUGUUCCAGCUACAUUAUUCUGAUUCAUAAUAUUUAAGAUAUUUGAAUAUUCUGCUAAUGCACAGAAUACAUUCAGUAGUUGUGAGUUUCUUGCUCUUAUAAUGUGACAACAGGUUGUUUCAAUUUCCAAGAGUAUUUCUUAUGGUCCAGUUUUCUUG
Lolium rigidum is the source of this 1330-nucleotide long non-coding RNA. RefSeq lists it as uncharacterized. The record is from RefSeq and is a predicted model, not a curated record. Lineage: Eukaryota; Viridiplantae; Streptophyta; Magnoliopsida; Poales; Poaceae. The transcript has 4 exons.